AUUGAACGCUGGCGGCAGGCCUAACACAUGCAAGUCGAACGAGUGGCGGACGGGUGAGUAAUGUCUGGGAAACUGCCUGAUGGAGGGGGAUCACUACUGGAAACGGUAGCUAAAACCGCCUUCCCUCGGAUGUGCCCAGAGGGGAUUAGGUGGUUGGUGGGGUAACGGCUCACCAAGGGGACGAUCCCUAGCGGGUCUGAGAGGAUGACCAGCAACACUGGAACUGAGACACGGUCCAGACUCCUACGGGAGGCAGCAGUGGGGAAUAUUGGACAAUGGGCGAAAGCCUGAUGCAGCCAUGCCGCGUGUAUGAAGAAGGCCUUCGGUUUGUAAAGUACUUUCAGCGGGGAGGCGUUACCCGCAGAAGAAGCACCGGCUAACUCCGUGCCAGCCGCCGCGGUAAUAC
Molecule: ribosomal RNA, 406 nt
Filed under: uncultured bacterium
Lineage: Bacteria
Description: partial 16S ribosomal RNA
Rfam family: Bacterial small subunit ribosomal RNA
Source: RNAcentral